AUUGAACGCUGGCGGCAGGCCUAACACAUGCAAGUCGAGCGAGCGGCGGACGGGUGAGUAAUGUCUGGGAAACUGCCUGAUGGAGGGGGAUAACUACUGGAAACGGUAGCUAAUACCGCAUACCAUCAGAUGUGCCCAGAUGGGAUUAGCUAGUAGGUGGGGUAAUGGCUCACCUAGGCGCCGAUCCCUAGCUGGUCUGAGAGGAUGGCCAGCACAAACGGAAAUGGGACAAGGUUCAGACGCCGACGGGGGGGAGCAGGGGGGAAUAUUUCAAAAUGGGGGGAAGGCUGAGUCAGGCAAGCCGGGGGGAGGAAAGAGGCCCUCGGGUUGUAAAGCACUUUCAGCGAGGAGGCGUUACUCGCAGAAGAAGCACCGGCUAACUCCGUGCCAGCAGCCGCGGUAAUUC
RNAcentral lists this ribosomal RNA (406 nucleotides) under uncultured bacterium. RNAcentral describes it as "partial 16S ribosomal RNA". It matches the Rfam family "Bacterial small subunit ribosomal RNA", at positions 29 to 526 of the family's 1533-position model. The record is from RNAcentral.